This is a long non-coding RNA of Hemicordylus capensis (graceful crag lizard), 202 nucleotides long. RefSeq lists it as uncharacterized. The record is from RefSeq and is a predicted model, not a curated record. The transcript has 3 exons. Lineage: Eukaryota; Metazoa; Chordata; Lepidosauria; Squamata; Cordylidae.
UUUAGUUAGAGAGCAGGUAGGCUCGCUAGCUUUUGCCAACAGGGCAAGAGGUUGUAUCCCUAUCAACACUAUGAAGAGACAAUUUAUUCUAUCAUGUUGCGUCUCUACCAUCACUUGCUUCUUAGGGUAUAAGCAAGACCCAACCAACUUGCAGGGACCUCCUCCUCCACUGGGCCGGUGAACCUCCAUCGUGUAUUUUCCA